AUGAAGAAGAAGAAGAAGAAGAAGAAGAAGAAGAAGAAGAAAAAGAAAGGAGAGCGAGGUACAAUGCAGAAUCUGUUUUGCAUAUCCUGUACCAGAUUCUGCCUGUUACAAGCUUGCGAAUUCCAGUUUGAGUUAGACUAGUGGUGGGGCCAUGUGGUGUCAGGUCUUGGGGUGACGAGCACAGUGGUCAUCGCGAAGGUGGAUGGGCGUGAACAAAUCUCACAGAGUGGCAUCAGAGAAGGAGAAGAACGGCUAUUGGGCGGUGAUGAAGUGAGGUGUGUUGUGUAUGCAUUGAAAGGCAGUGGCAUGGCACGUCCUGCUCCUCGGCACAGGGUUAUGUCAUUAAGGUCCAGGUCAGAGAAUAAGUUGUGGAAUUCUAAGGCAAAGGUGUAACAGCGGAACACUGCAUGAGGAACCGGGCGUCAUCCGUCGUGAGUGCACUGUGGCAAUAGACAGACGCGGAGGCACUGGCAUCUUCCUUAUGUUAGGUAUUGUGAAAGCGACUAUAUGAGGUUCAGCGGAGCAAUACCUUGGAGGCUGGGGGGCUGGAGAGUAUGAGCGCUGAUACCUUAGGAAGAGAAAGUGCCUCUCCUCGGCUGUGUCUGCUGCCUCGUUAUCCUGCCUGAGUGACUUGAGACAGUUCAGAGUUCACGGGUAGUCAGAAAUAUACAUGGAGUGUACAGUGAAAGUGUCGAUGGGAGACAGUGGUGUGAUGGAAUGUAUCAGUGUAGACCAGAGUACAGGGAAUGAACACUAAGACCGAUUAAGUGUUCCUCCUCCUCCUCCUCCUCCUCCUCCUCCUCCUCCUCCUUCAUUCCCCCUCUUCCUCCCGCAUUUUCACCUGUUUCUAAGUAUUGCUUUUGUUGUCCAUAUUAAUUUUUUUCCCACAAUUUCUUCUGUCGUCACUUUUCUGUGAUUGCAAAAGAGGAAAGGGAGGAGGAGGAGAAAGGGGAGGAAGAAAGACAGAAACAAUAACAACAAUAAUAACUACUACUAUUACUACUACUACUACUACUACUACAGCAACAACAACAGCAGCAGCAGCAGCAACAGCAUCAUCAACAACAACAACAACAACAACAACAACAGCAACAACAACAACAACAGCAGCAGCAGCAGCAGCAGCAGCAGCAGCAACAGCAGCAGCAGCAGCAGCAGCAGCAAAACCAACACCACCACCACCAACAAUAACAAUAACAACAACAAAUAACAACAACAACAACAACAACAACAACAACAACAACAACAACAACAUCGACAAAUAAGAACAGCAAUAACAACAACAACAAAAACAACAACAACAACAACAACAACAACAACAACAAUCUCUCUCUCUCUCUCUCUCUCUCUCUCUCUCUCUCUCUCUCUCUCUCUCUCUCUCUCUCUCUCUCUCUCGACACGUCACACAUCCAGCCAUCCCUCAAGUUCAAGGCGCCAGGCGGGCCGCGAGGUGUAUAUAAGGAGGUGAGGAAGCGAAGUUCACUCAGUGCCACUCCAGACACCGACAAGAGAGAGCCCGCCAGCCCUUGAGCGUCACACCUUCACAUACAGUUAGUCGGAACUGCAGCUGAACCACACACCAAUCUUUUCUCGCACCAGAAAACACUCAGAGUAUUUCAGAUCGAUUCAUUCACUGGGAUUUCUGGUCGAGUCUACAGUAACUCCCAUCCAAUCAAUUAAGAUGCGUGUGUGGGCACUGCUGCUGGCUGUCCUUACUGUGGUGUGCGCGAUGGCGGGAAUGACGGAGGCCAUGCCGGAACCUCAGCGGCCUGGUGGACUCCUCUCCAGGAGAACGUUUGGCUUCAGGAGGUUCACCAAUAGCCGCAGGAGAGCCUCGUCGAGGCCGAGCAACUCUUGCACCAACCAGGGCCUGUUCGUGGUGUGCGGCUAAGCAGACAUCCCUCCUCCAGUCACUCCUCCGGGAUGCCUCCGCGCGGCCUCUCUCCCUGCGGCGCCUGUUCCUGCCCAGGACGGCGUCCAGUGUCACCGACUGGCACACGGUGAUAGGGACGCUGUGAUAAGGGCACAGUGACAGACCCGCUCUCUACAUACACCCAUUAUCCUCCCCUCCCCUUCCUCCCCAUUCCCCUUGCCAGGCUAUUAUUGGCCAUUCAUUCCCCUAACUCUCACCUUCCUUUCCCUCUCCCCUGCCAACCUGCUAGUAGUCAUUUAUCAAGUCCCCGCCCAUUCCCUGGCAAAACCCUUCUCUUCCCUUCGUCCCCUUCCCCCUGCUAGACUACCAUUUAUCAUUUAUACAUCCAUGAACCUUCCCCUGCCUUCCCCUUCCUUCGCCUUCACCCUCUUCCCCUGCCAGUGCUAGAGUCCAUUUGCUCCAUCCUCUGUCAUUCUCUUUAUCCCUUUCCCCUUCCUCAUUCGUCCCCUCUCCCCUGCCUCGCUGCCAGUGUUCAUCCUCCCCAGCAUCUGCCACUUCCUGUCCUCUUAUGCCCCGUAGCUUAAGGCGAAGUCACGUGGAUGAAGCAGCGAAAUAUUGAAGUUUUAUUUCGUGUUUGUCCCGUGAACUUUAUGUAGUGGUGGUGGUGGUGGUGGUGGCGGUGGUGGUGGUGAAUCCUCCCCCACACGUCCCCUCCCCUCCACUCUCCUCUUUAUCCUAUAUACGUAAGUUAGUUUGCAUUUUUAUUUAUACGCGUUAUUUUUUAUCACACCGACAAAUCGAUCGAUGUGGAAAUAAUAAAAAUAUAUACAACAUGA
Molecule: long non-coding RNA, 2709 nt
Organism: Scylla paramamosain (green mud crab)
Lineage: Eukaryota; Metazoa; Arthropoda; Malacostraca; Decapoda; Portunidae
Exons: 2
Source: RefSeq, a predicted model, not a curated record